UUUCAGUGACAAAGUUUGAUGAUUUUUAUUUUUCUUCACCCACAAUCAGCGACUUCACCACUAUCUGAGCUGAGUUAGAAACACAAAAACAGUUGAACAAUUGAAUAUGAUUAUUAUUAGAGUGAUUGAAAAGCUCAUAACAACAUGUUGGAAUAUCCAUAGAAGCCACGAAUACAAAUAUUCAGCAAACAGAGAGAGCACAUAUCAUUUGAAGUGUUUUUGGGGAAGACAGGAAAGACUUUAGACAGUUGAAUUUGGGACAGGAAAUAAGGUGGUACUUUUUUCAUCUUUCUGUUAUUUUGACGUCACUUUUUUCUCUUAAGUCUCAGACCUUUAAAAUCUGCACCAACUGAAGGUGAUUUCAACAAAUGAUCAUCUUGAUGUUGUUGCUAUAAAACUUAAGUGAAGAUUUUUAAAAUGAGAAAUACAAACAAUCAAAGUUAUCCACAAUCACUGUCCUUACAGCUGCGACCAAAGUAGCAUUUUUAAAAAAGAAUGAAAAAGGUAAAAAAGAAAAACUAAACCGAGAGUUUUUGGUGAGACUGAUCCACAAAAAUUUACAAACCAGAACAUUUCAAGAGUUCAGUGAUCUCAUUUACAUGUUUUUGGUCUGAUGGACUCAUUUUUUUUUUUUUUGUUUGGUCACGUCACUAAACUCAGCAGAGCCUCCAUUAGCCCAUGAUAAUGCCACUCCAGCAUGUAGCGGCUGAGUGAAUGUGGUCUUAACUCUGUGGAGGAGAGUCAUGGUUUCAGAGACGCUGUAGAAGGACAGAAUACCUGCUUUAUGAUCCAGGUACACUCCUACUCUGGAAGACCGAGGACCUGAGACACGAGUGAAGACACUGUUGUGAAAAAAAUCAUACCUGUCUUUAUAACAGACUAACCUCCAAGAUUUGUCAUUGCAUCCAAAUCCACAAUCCCCUGACCACCCUGCUCUGCUGAUAGUCUUGUAAGCGACUGCUACAUGGACCUCGUACCCUCUCCGCUCCACCUCCCAGUAACAACGUCCAGUCAGACUCUCUCUACUCAGGACUUGAGUAUAAUCAAUGAAUCUGUCUGGGUGAUCAGGAUAAGACUGUUGUUCUUCUGUAUAUGUUGCUCUUCUGUUUGCAACAGAUAAUAACAGCUUUCUGUGUGCUGUGUUUGGAUCCAGUGUGAUUCUUUGUGAAUAUCUUAAGAAAUCAGCUCUGGUCUUGGGUUCUGGUUCUGGUUCUGGUGGUUCUAACAGUAAAAUAUCCACUUCACUCACUGCCUGUGAGACGUUUGUCCACGUCUCUGUCAGAAGAUCCUGGAGUUUAUCUCUGACCUCUGACACAGCUGCUGUCACCUCCUCAAAGUAUCUCUGAGGACGGAUGUUGAUCCUGGAUGAGUCUGCAGGUUGACCCGGUCCUGACAGUGGGGGAUAGCCGAGCAGAAACUGGUUGUGGUCCUCUGUGAGUGAGAGCUUCAGCAGAUCAGCGUCUUUCCUCUUCAGCUCAGUGAUCUCCUGCUCCAGCUUCUUCUGAAGCUCUUUGACUCGACUCACUUCACGUUUCUGCUGGGAUCUGACCUGCUGCUCCACCUCAGAGUGAUGUUUCUCCAUGAGACGGAUCAGCUGGCUGAAGAUCUCCUGGCUGUGCUCCACAGCUUUAUCAGCAGAGCCGUUGAUAGCCUCCACCUCCUGUUGGAGCAGCUUCACAUCUUUCUCUCUAACCUGGAUUCUCUGCUGGAUGUUUUCUCGACUCUCCUCCAGAUCUUUCUGCCUCUCAGUCCUUUCUGCUGCAGCUGAGACUGUGUUGUGGCCUUCGUGUUGGCCCAAACAGCAGAUGAAACAGAUAGACUGUUGAUCAGUGCGACAGAAGAUCUUCAUCACCUCACCAUGACGAGAGCAGACUUCCUCCACUAAACCUGCCAACAUGGUGUUUUUCUGCAGGACAGGCCUCGGUGUGAAGGUCCGUCUGCACUGAGGACAGCUGUAGAUCUUCUUCUCAUCCUCUUUAUCCCAGUGGGCUUGAAUACAGCUCAUGCAGAAGCUGUGUCCACAGGAAACAGCCACCGGAUCCUUCAGUCGAUCCAAACAGAUGGGACAAGAGAAAGAUUCACGGUCCAGCUGAACUCCUUUCUGCGCCAUUUCAACACUCACUGUCGACGAUGACUGACUGACU
RNAcentral lists this long non-coding RNA (2144 nucleotides) under Xyrichtys novacula (pearly razorfish). Lineage: Eukaryota; Metazoa; Chordata; Actinopteri; Labriformes; Labridae. The record is from RNAcentral.